Molecule: ribosomal RNA, 408 nt
Filed under: Triticum aestivum (bread wheat)
Lineage: Eukaryota; Viridiplantae; Streptophyta; Magnoliopsida; Poales; Poaceae
Description: partial small subunit ribosomal RNA
Source: RNAcentral
AUGGCGGCCGUGUUGGACGCGUGGCGCAGCAAGAGGGCGGCCAUCACGUCGUGGUGCGUGUCGGCGCUGUGGAGCGGGCUCAGGCGAAGGCACCUGCGGACGACGUACGCCCUCGGAGCCGGUGGGCUCAAGCUCAACUACGACGCGCUCAGCUACGCCCAGAACUUCGACGACGGGAGCCGCCCCGGCGACGGCGAGUGCGAGCCCGACUUCACGGCCAGUUCCGGCCCGGCGUAUGUGGUGGUGGUGGUGCUUUUCCUCCCCUAUCCCUUGACGGCUAGGGUAAACUCUUCCCUCCACACUUCAGCAGUGAGCCUGUCGAUUCGCCCCCUCUCUGCCUGCUGCUUCGGCGGCCAGUGGCUGGGGGAGAAUCCUGGUGCCUUCGCUCUGGCUAGCAGUUUAGAUUAG